UACUAGAGUAGCACUCGCAUAUCAAUAAGCGGAGGAAAAGAAACUAACAAGGAUUCCCCUAGUAACGGCGAGUGAAGCGGGAAGAGCUCAAAUUUGAAAUCUUAAGGGGUUUCCCUUUACGAAUUGUAGUUUAAAGAAGUGUUUUCUGUUGAGGUUUUGGUAAAAGUUCUUUGGAAUAGGACAUCAUAGAGGGUGAGAAUCCCGUAUUUGACCUUUACUUUCAACUUUGUGAUACACUUUCAAAGAGUCGGAUUGUUUGGGAAUGCAGUCCAAAAUGGGUGGUAAAUUUCAUCUAAAGCUAAAUAUUGGCGAGAGACCGAUAGCGAACAAGUACCGUGAGGGAAAGAUGAAAAGAACUUUGAAAAGAGAGUUAAACAGUACGUGAAAUUGUCAAAAGGGAAGCGUUUGACACCAGUGUUGUUUUUCUGAAAAUCAAUUAAAGAACUGUUUAUGCUAAGUUGUUUAGACUUUAUCAGCUAACUGUUUAGUUUUGAGCUUUUCUUUAAUGCACUUUUCAGUUAACAAGUCAACAUCAAUUUCUUUUGCUGUAAAAAAGCUUGAGGAAGGUGGCUUGAGAUUCGUCUUAAGUGUUUAUAGCCUCUUGCCUAUGCAGUCGGAGAGAUUGAGGUCUGCAGCGUAGAUCCUUCGGGCUAAAUGCAUUUGUGCUAAGUUAUAGCAUUUUAUAGACAACUUGUUGACUAUGAUUUGUCUUGUAGCUUACUCGCUUAUGUUAUUUUACCUACGCUUAGGAUGUUGAGCGCAUGUCUCUCUCU
RNAcentral lists this ribosomal RNA (773 nucleotides) under uncultured Neocallimastigales. RNAcentral's name for it is "partial large subunit ribosomal RNA". It matches the Rfam family "Eukaryotic large subunit ribosomal RNA", at positions 20 to 616 of the family's 3401-position model. The record is from RNAcentral. Lineage: Eukaryota; Fungi; Neocallimastigomycota; Neocallimastigomycetes; Neocallimastigales.